This 775-nucleotide long non-coding RNA is filed under the name Pan troglodytes (chimpanzee). Its description in RNAcentral is "long non-coding RNA NONPTRT002917". Lineage: Eukaryota; Metazoa; Chordata; Mammalia; Primates; Hominidae. The record is from RNAcentral.
UAUUAAGGUACACCAUACACAAGAAAACACUGAUUUUAACUGAGUAAUUAAAUCGGCUCUGACAAAUAUACAACCUGCGGAGUCCCCACCCUGGUCUUCGGGCCCUUCCCUCUCCCACCUGACUGUUUCUUCCUGUUGUCUCAGGGGUGUGGUUAGGUGCGUCUUCCCUGGGGUUUCUCAGGAUUGGAGCCGCAGCAUGGACUCCACUCAUGGCAUUCUGCCCUCCCUAGCACUGGAGAGACACUGACACACAAAUGGUCCACGUGUCCAUUCCCCCGUGGUGAAUGGACGUGUCUUCGUGUGGGCGCACUCCUGUUUCUCUUGGGUAAACACCCAGGAAUACAUGGCCUUUGAGGUUGUACGUGUGACACCCCCACCUCUGGAGUCUGGGGUGCCCUCCUACCGACCAGCUCCAGGGGUAUGCGGCAGCACCUCCCAUGGUGGGACUGGGGUUCCCAGAGGAGCCCUACUGCUGAACCCUGCACACUCCGUGCCCGUUUGCAGACACUCUCUCAGGCUGAGCCCCACACGCUCCGUGCCCGUUUGCAGACACUCUCAGGCUGAGCCCCACACGCUCCGUGCCCGUUUGCAGACAUUCUCAGGCUGAGCCCCACAUGCUCCAUGCCCAUUUGCAGACUCUCUCUCAGGCUGAGCCCCGCACGCUCCGUGCCCGUUUGCAGACUCUCAGGCUGAGCCCCGCACGCUCUGUGCCUGUUUGCAGACACUCUCUCAGGCUGAGCCUGACAUGCUCCGUGCCCGUUUGCAAACAUUCUCU